RNAcentral lists this ribosomal RNA (769 nucleotides) under Henosepilachna signatipennis. RNAcentral describes it as "partial 16S ribosomal RNA". The stretch from base 1 to 573 matches the Rfam family "Archaeal large subunit ribosomal RNA", at positions 1921 to 2987 of the family's 2987-position model. The record is from RNAcentral. Lineage: Eukaryota; Metazoa; Arthropoda; Insecta; Coleoptera; Coccinellidae.
CUCUUUUUGAAUUUAAUUUAAAGUUUGGCCUGCCCACUGAAUUAUUGAAGGGCCGCAGUAUUUUGACUGUGCAAAGGUAGCAUAAUCAUUAGUUUUUUAAUUGAAAGCUUGUAUGAAUGGUUUGAUGAGAAAAUUACUGUUUCAAAUUUAAUAAUAGAAUUUUAUUUUUAAGUUAAAAAGCUUAAAUGAAAUUUAAAGACGAGAAGACCCUAUAGAGUUUAACUAAAAUUUAUUUUGUUAAUUUUAGAAUUUUAUUUUAAUAAUUUAACUUAAGUUUUGUUGGGGUGACAGAAAAAUUAAUUAAACUUUUUUUAUAUAAAUACAAUAAUAAUUGAAUUUUUGAUCCAUAUAAAUGAUUAUAAGAUUAAAUUACCUUAGGGAUAACAGCGUAAUCUUUUUAAUAGUUCUUAUUGAAAAAAAGGUUUGCGACCUCGAUGUUGGAUUAAAAUUUAUUUUUGGUGUAGAAGCUAGAAUAUUAGGUCUGUUCGACCUUUGAAAUUUUACAUGAUCUGAGUUUAAACCGGUGUAAGCCAGGUUGGUUUCUAUCUUAAAUAUAAAAAAUAUUUUAGUACGAAAGGAUCAAAUAUUAUAUUAAUAAUAUUAUUUAAGAAUUUUAUUUUGGCAGAUUAGUGCAAAGGAUUUAGAAUCUUUAAAUGUAUAUUAUACAAAUAAAAAUUGAUUUAUUAAUAAUUUUUUUAAAUUUUUUAAUUUUAUUAUUAAGAGUUUUGGUGGGGGUAGCUUUUUUAACUUUAUUAGAGCGAAAGUUAUU